This 296-nucleotide long non-coding RNA is filed under the name Rattus norvegicus (Norway rat). RNAcentral's name for it is "long non-coding RNA NONRATT003755". Lineage: Eukaryota; Metazoa; Chordata; Mammalia; Rodentia; Muridae. The record is from RNAcentral.
UUAUUUCCCUACGUACAAAUUCCCCGAGCUUCCUGAAAUCCAGCAGAACUCUGAAGAUGAUGAUUCUGACCUGCACUCUCCUCGAUACUCCUUUUCUGAAGACACAAAGUCUCCCCUUUCUGUGCCUCGCUCAAAAAGUGAGAUGAACUACAUUGACGGGGAGAAAGUGGUCAAGAGGUCUGCCACACUCCCCCUCCCAGCCCGCUCCUCCUCACUCAAGUCCAGCCCAGAGAGAAACGACUGGGAGCCCCCAGAUAAGAAAGUGGAUACGAGAAAAUACCGAGCAGAGCCCAAAA